Molecule: ribosomal RNA, 446 nt
Filed under: uncultured bacterium
Lineage: Bacteria
Description: partial 16S ribosomal RNA
Rfam family: Bacterial small subunit ribosomal RNA
Source: RNAcentral
CCUACGGGUGGCAGCAGUCGAGAAUCAUUCACAAUGGGGGAAACCCUGAUGGUGCGACGCCGCGUGGGGGAAUGAAGGUCUUCGGAUUGUAAACCCCUGUCAUGUGGGAGCAAAUUAAAAAGAUAGUACCACAAGAGGAAGAGACGGCUAACUCAGUGCCAGCAGCCGCGGUAAUACAGAGGUCUCAAGUGUUGUUCGGAAUCACUGGGCGUAAAGCGUGCGUAGGCUGUUUCGUAAGUCGUGUGUGAAAGGCGCGGGCUCAACCCGCGGACGGCACAUGAUACUGCGAGACUAGAGUAGUGGAGGGGGAACCGGAAUGCUCGGUGUAGCAGUGAAAUGCGUAGAUAUCGAGAGGAACACUCGUGGCGAAGGCGGGUUCCUGGACAUUAACUGACGCUGAGGCACGAAGGCCAGGGGAGCGAAAGGGAUUAGAUACCCGGGUAGUC